UUUUUUGUCCCAGUCCAGCCCUGCCUACACGGGUAUUUUUGAAAACGCAGCUGUUUCUAUGCGUUUGGGCUUUUCGUCAACACGUAAACGGCGUUGCGAUUCACCGAAAACGGAGAUUAUUUAAAACUCCUUUUUUGCGUUUACGUGUGGACGAGGAUUACAGAGUUCGUCACGCAACGUCAAAGUUUUCGUUUCCUCUGGUGCGACCCCCUCUCUCCCUCUUUAAAUGGUGAAGAGUAUAUACUUCUCAGCAGGAGUACCGGCCAUCUCUCCUGGAUCAAAAACUCAGUUCUGGAAUAUC
Molecule: long non-coding RNA, 301 nt
Organism: Oreochromis aureus
Lineage: Eukaryota; Metazoa; Chordata; Actinopteri; Cichliformes; Cichlidae
Source: Ensembl